UGCUCCUCCCUCUAUUGAACGAGAUACUAACUUGAUCGUCAGAGAGCCCCUGCCAGAGCCAUCUCCAGUCGAUGCUUUUUCUUGCAGGUUUCCCCCUAGGACGUAUUGAUCUCAACCAUCUCCACCUUCUCUAGUGCCAGUCGAUAUCUCACACCAAUAGAUGUGGCGCUAGAGGAAGGGUGGCAUAAUUUUUUGCCCCAAUUUAGAGGAGUGCAGAUCGAAGCAGGGUG
RNAcentral lists this long non-coding RNA (230 nucleotides) under Elaeis guineensis (African oil palm). RNAcentral describes it as "long non-coding RNA (EGUI_LNC056051)". Lineage: Eukaryota; Viridiplantae; Streptophyta; Magnoliopsida; Arecales; Arecaceae. The record is from RNAcentral.